Molecule: ribosomal RNA, 442 nt
Filed under: uncultured prokaryote
Description: bacterial SSU rRNA
Rfam family: Bacterial small subunit ribosomal RNA
Source: RNAcentral
UCGAGAAUCUUCGGCAAUGGACGAAAGUCUGACCGAGCGACGCCGCGUGCGGGAUGAAGGCCCUCGGGUUGUAAACCGCUGUCAGUUGGGAGGAAAGCUUUGUGAAGAGCAAAGCUUGACCGAUCUUCAGAGGAAGGACGGGCUAAGUUCGUGCCAGCAGCCGCGGUAAGACGAACCGUCCAAACGUUAUUCGGUAUCACUGGGCUUAAAGCGUGCGUAGGCGGCCUGUCAGGUCGGGUGUGAAAUCCCACGGCUCAACCGUGGAACUGCGCCCGAAACCUACAGGCUUGAGGAAGACAGGGGUGUUGGGAACUUAUGGUGGAGCGGUGAAAUGCGUUGAUAUCAUAGGGAACACCGGUGGCGAAGGCGCAACACUGGGUCUUUUCUGACGCUGAGGCACGAAAGCUAGGGUAGCGAACGGGAUUAGAUACCCCCGUAGUCC